GAAAAGCCAAACGUCCAGCUCUUUCUCCAACGAGGAAGGGCCCAGCCAUGAAAGCUGUUGCUGCUCUUCUCCUUCCCUUGGCGCCCUAUAUACAGGCACAACCGCACUGGGGAUCAGGGCUUUCCCAGAGACGCUACAUCCAAUGGCGCUUUUCUAGUCAGAGCCGCUUUCCAAAAAGGCGAACGUCUGGCUCCUUCUCCCACAAGGAAGUUGCCAGCCCUGAAAGAUCUUGCUGGUCUUCACCUGCCCUUGGCAGCCUACUCACAGGCACAACAGCACGAGGGAUCUGGGCUUGCCCAGAGACAGAAGAUCUCAUGGCGCUCGUUCUCGGCAGAGUAUUUUCUGAAACGGCAAUACGACGCCUGUUCUCCCACAAGGAAGGUGCCAG
Long non-coding RNA from Aquila chrysaetos chrysaetos, 388 nucleotides. RefSeq lists it as uncharacterized. NCBI's taxonomy places the organism in Eukaryota, Metazoa, Chordata, Aves, Accipitriformes, Accipitridae. The record is from RefSeq and is a predicted model, not a curated record. The transcript has 2 exons.